RNAcentral lists this ribosomal RNA (313 nucleotides) under uncultured soil bacterium. Its description in RNAcentral is "bacterial SSU rRNA". It matches the Rfam family "Bacterial small subunit ribosomal RNA", at positions 26 to 340 of the family's 1533-position model. The record is from RNAcentral.
AGAUUGAACGCUGGCGGCAGGCCUAACACAUGCAAGUCGAGCGGUAGAGAGGUGCUUGCACCUCUUGAGAGCGGCGGACGGGUGAGUAAAGCCUAGGAAUCUGCCUGGUAGUGGGGGAUAACGCUCGGAAACGGACGCUAAUACCGCAUACGUCCUACGGGAGAAAGCAGGGGACCUUCGGGCCUUGCGCUAUCAGAUGAGCCUAGGUCGGAUUAGCUAGUUGGUGAGGUAAUGGCUCACCAAGGCGACGAUCCGUAACUGGUCUGAGAGGAUGAUCAGUCGCACGUGGAACUGAGACACGGUCCAGACUCCU